UACGAACCGUCCAAACGUUACUCGGAAUCACUGGGCUUAAAGGGUGCGUAGGCCGCGCGGUGGGUGGGAUGUGAAAUCCCCCGGCUCAACCGGGGAAUAGCGUCCCAAACCGCCGUGCUCGAGGGAGACAGAGGUGAGCGGAACUGAUGGUGGAGCGGUGAAAUGCGUUGAUAUCAGCAGGAACACCAGUGGCGAAAGCGGCUCACUGGGUCUUUCCUAACGCUGAGGCACGAAAGCUAGGGGAGCGAACGGG
Molecule: ribosomal RNA, 253 nt
Filed under: uncultured bacterium
Lineage: Bacteria
Description: partial 16S ribosomal RNA
Rfam family: Bacterial small subunit ribosomal RNA
Source: RNAcentral